This is a long non-coding RNA of Tupaia belangeri chinensis (Chinese tree shrew), 332 nucleotides long. RefSeq lists it as uncharacterized. The record is from RefSeq and is a predicted model, not a curated record. The transcript has 3 exons. NCBI's taxonomy places the organism in Eukaryota, Metazoa, Chordata, Mammalia, Scandentia, Tupaiidae.
AGAAGGGGCUAGUUUUCAUGAGAGCUGGUUGCUGAAAGAGAAAAUCACACAGAGCUUGCUCUCUCUGCACACACCUGCCGUCAUCUGUGCUUCCGUCGGCCAUGCUGUAGCCUACACCUUUGGAAUUUUCAGUUACCAGAAUUGAUAAAAGGAUACAAAAGAACAGCCAGGUGAGGAGAGACAAUGGGCAAGACGCUAGGGAAGGAGCACCAGAACGUCCCUGCCACCCUUCAAGUAAUUCAGUAACCUGGAAGCUCUCCAAGACCUGUCCUUUUCGGUUUUUAUGGAAGCCUCAUUAGGGUCUGCCAGAGGGGAAUGAUAAUGAAGGAUGG